GGCCUCGUGGCCUAAUGGAUAAGGCGUCUGACUUCGAAUCAGAAGAUUGCAGGMUCGAGUCCUGCCGGGGURG
This is a non-coding RNA of Salvelinus sp. IW2-2015, 73 nucleotides long. Lineage: Eukaryota; Metazoa; Chordata; Actinopteri; Salmoniformes; Salmonidae. The record is from the annotation of a RefSeq genome assembly.